RNAcentral lists this long non-coding RNA (513 nucleotides) under Panax ginseng (ginseng). Its description in RNAcentral is "long non-coding RNA (PGIN_LNC018313)". The record is from RNAcentral. Lineage: Eukaryota; Viridiplantae; Streptophyta; Magnoliopsida; Apiales; Araliaceae.
UUCGAAUCUCCAAUUUCGGUCUGAAAAACAUUACAAUUUACAAUCACCAUCCUCGGGUACAAUUGGUUCGGCAUUAUCAUCAUCUUCAUCACCUGUUUGAUCAGCAUCUCUGGUGAGUGGGGUUCAUCUCUUCCUCUUCAAAAUCCAUAAUCGCAACACCAUGUUCAUCCUUUUUAUAAAAUUCUGACUUCAUGGAUUUCGCAACUACACAUAGGCAGUCAUCCUCCUGGGUAUAGCCACAAAUCAAUACACUAUGAUUAGUCUUUGGUUCGGAUUUUGGGUAGAUUUGCUUCAUAGCUUCAACAGAUUGAUGAGUCCAUAUUUUCAUAGAAGCUGUAAAUUUUUCUAGGAACCCGUCAAAAGCUGCCGUGAUAGGAUCCAGAUCAACCAAUGGAGCUCUCAAUGAAAGUAGCAUUGAUACUGAUUUAUAGUCUCAGAUAGACUUUGAUAGAAAUUGUAGAGAAAAAGAUAGAUAGGAGAGGAAGUUUUUAAUUCACUUCAUUGAUAUCUAAU